AGUACCUUAUCUUUCUUUUGCCAAAGUGUUCCCCAACUAUUUUUUCAAAUUUUCCAAAUAAUUCCUCAAACAAAAAUUAUGAAAAAUAAAUAAAUUUACUAAAUUAAAAUAAAUAAAUAAAAUAACAUAAAAUAAACAUCAGAAAAAAUAGAGAAAAAGAAAAUGUUAGUGAUAAACAAAUAUAAAAUUAAAAUAAAAAAAUAAAAUUAAAACCAAAAUGAUA
Molecule: long non-coding RNA, 223 nt
Filed under: Vigna radiata
Lineage: Eukaryota; Viridiplantae; Streptophyta; Magnoliopsida; Fabales; Fabaceae
Description: long non-coding RNA (VRAD_LNC014393)
Source: RNAcentral